GCCUGAUGCAGCGACGCCGCGUGAGGGAUGACGGCCUUCGGGUUGUAAACCUCUUUCAGCAGGGACGAAGCGCAAGUGACGGUACCUGUAGAAGAAGGACCGGCCAACUACGUGCCAGCAGCCGCGGUAAUACGUAGGGUCCGAGCGUUGUCCGGAAUUACUGGGCGUAAAGAGCUCGUAGGUGGUUUGUCGCGUUGUUCGUGAAAACUCACAGCUUAACUGUGGGCGUGCGGGCGAUACGGGCAGACUUGAGUACUGCAGGGGAGACUGGAAUUCCUGGUGUAGCGGUGGAAUGCGCAGAUAUCAGGAGGAACACCGGUGGCGAAGGCGGGUCUCUGGGCAGUAACUGACGCUGAGGAGCGAAAGCGUGGGGAGCGAACAGGAUUAGAUACCCUGGUAGUCCACGCCGUAAACGGUGGGUACUAGGUGUGGGUUUCCUUCCUUGGGAUCCGUGCCGUAGCUAACGCAUUAAGUACCCCGCCUGGGGAGUACGGCCGCAAGGCUAAAACUCAAAGAAAUUGACGGGGGCCCGCACAAGCGGCGGAGCAUGUGGAUUAAUUCGAUGCAACGCGAAGAACCUUACCUGGGUUUGACAUGCACAGGACGUGCCUAGAGAUAGGUAUUCCCUUGUGGCCUG
Molecule: ribosomal RNA, 637 nt
Filed under: Mycobacterium sp. Se1Ps_2112
Lineage: Bacteria; Bacillati; Actinomycetota; Actinomycetes; Mycobacteriales; Mycobacteriaceae
Also listed under: 3 other names
Description: bacterial SSU rRNA
Rfam family: Bacterial small subunit ribosomal RNA
Source: RNAcentral